RNAcentral lists this transfer RNA (71 nucleotides) under Camelus bactrianus (Bactrian camel). It matches the Rfam family "tRNA". Rfam says of the family: Transfer RNA (tRNA) molecules are approximately 80 nucleotides in length. Their secondary structure includes four short double-helical elements and three loops (D, anti-codon, and T loops). Lineage: Eukaryota; Metazoa; Chordata; Mammalia; Artiodactyla; Camelidae. The record is from Rfam by way of RNAcentral. RNAcentral also lists the same sequence under 2 other names.
GAGGGUAUAGCUCAGUGGUUAGAGCGUGUGCUUAGCACACAAGGUCCUGGGUUCGAUCCCCAAUCCCUCCA